CAUCAGCCAAAAUACCAUUCAAUCCAUGUUUAUGAAGAAGUGCUAACCAGUUUAAACCAAUUUUCUGGUACGGCUUGAGUUCCAAACUCUGAUUCAGAACGGAGGGUUGCUCUAUGUUCCACCUGCAUCCUCCAUCUUCUGUAAUCUUGGUUACUUGUUUUGUCAGUUUAUUUGAAAUUUCUUCACAUUUAUUCAUGAGCUUGAGAACCACAUCUCUCUCCUUCAGCAGGGUCUUGCAGUUCCACACAAUGUCUUCUGACAAGCCAGCAGUCUUAGUUAUUUUUGAAAGCAAGUGCCACUGCUUUUCCUUCUGUCGUGGACUGUGGUUUAUCCUUCUGAUGCUUUACCUUACUAAUAAAAACACAGCAGUUUCC
RNAcentral lists this long non-coding RNA (374 nucleotides) under Gallus gallus (chicken). The record is from RNAcentral. Lineage: Eukaryota; Metazoa; Chordata; Aves; Galliformes; Phasianidae.